Molecule: ribosomal RNA, 253 nt
Filed under: uncultured bacterium
Lineage: Bacteria
Description: partial 16S ribosomal RNA
Rfam family: Bacterial small subunit ribosomal RNA
Source: RNAcentral
UACGUAGGGGGCAAGCGUUGUCCGGAUUUAUUGGGCGUAAAGAGCGUGUAGGCGGCCUGACAGGUCUGCUGUGAAAACUCAAGGCUCAACCUCGAGAUGUCGGCGGAAACCGUCUGGCUAGAGUCCGGAAGAGGAGAGUGGAAUUCCUGGUAUAGCGGUGAAAUGCGCAGAUAUCAGGAAGAACACCUAUGGCGAAGGCGGGUCUCUGGGCCGAUACUGACGCUGAGGAGCGAAAGCGUGGGGAGCGAACAGG